RNAcentral lists this ribosomal RNA (253 nucleotides) under uncultured bacterium. RNAcentral describes it as "partial 16S ribosomal RNA". It matches the Rfam family "Bacterial small subunit ribosomal RNA", at positions 524 to 776 of the family's 1533-position model. The record is from RNAcentral.
UACGAAGGGGGCUAGCGUUGUUCGGAAUCACUGGGCGUAAAGGGCGCGUAGGCGGCCGCUCGAGUCGGGGGUGAAAGCCUGUGGCUUAACCACAGAAUUGCCUUCGAUACUGUUUGGCUUGAGACCGGAAGAGGUGAGUGGAACUGCGAGUGUAGAGGUGAAAUUCGUAGAUAUUCGCAAGAACACCAGUGGCGAAGGCGGCUCACUGGUCCGGUUCUGACGCUGAGGCGCGAAAGCGUGGGGAGCAAACAGG